AGCCAGGGGCGAUUCUAGGAUCAGACCUUUAGGGGGACUCAGCCCCUAGUGAGAAUGUGACAUGGAUACAGUGCAAAAUGAAAUAUUGUUCAUUUA
Long non-coding RNA from Etheostoma cragini (Arkansas darter), 96 nucleotides. RefSeq lists it as uncharacterized. The record is from RefSeq and is a predicted model, not a curated record. The transcript is spliced from 3 exons. NCBI's taxonomy places the organism in Eukaryota, Metazoa, Chordata, Actinopteri, Perciformes, Percidae.